This 1192-nucleotide ribosomal RNA is filed under the name metagenome. Its description in RNAcentral is "bacterial SSU rRNA". It matches the Rfam family "Bacterial small subunit ribosomal RNA", at positions 301 to 1520 of the family's 1533-position model. The record is from RNAcentral.
CGAUCCCCCACACUGGUACUGAGACACGGACCAGAUACCUGCGGGUAGCAGCAGCAAGGAAUAUUGCGCAAUGGGCGAAAGCCUGACGCAGCAACACCGCGUGGAGGAUGAAUGUCUUCGGAUUGUAAACUCCUUUUCUGGGGGAAGAGAUAGGACGGUACCCCAGGAAUAAGUCUCGGCUAACUACGUGCCAGCAGCCGCGGUAAAACGUAGGAGGCAAACGUUAUCCGGAUUUACUGGGCGUAAAGCGCAUGCAGGCGGUUUUUUAAGUCGGACGUGAAAGCUCCUGGCUCAACUAGGAGAGGCCGUUCGAAACUGAAAGACUUGAGGAUGAUAGAGGAGAGUGGAAUUCCCGGUGUAGUGGUGAAAUGCGUAGAUAUCGGGAGGAACACCAGUGGCGAAAGCGGCUCUCUGGGUCAUUCCUGACGCUCAGAUGCGAAAGCUAGGGGAGAGAACGGGAUUAGAAACCCCGGUAUUCCUAGCCGUAAACGAUGUCAACUAGGUGUAGGAGGUCAUUUACCCCUUCUGUACUGUAGCUAACGCGUUAAGUUGACCGCCUGGGGACUACGGCCGCAAGGCUAAAACUCAAAGGAAUUGACGGGGACCCGCACAAGCAGCGGAGCGUGUGGUUUAAUUCGAGGCUACGCGAAGAACCUUACCAGGGCUUGACAUAUAGCUGGUAGUGAAUCGAAAGAGGAACGACCCUUCGGGGAGGCUAUACAGGUGCUGCAUGGCUGUCGUCAGCUCGUGCCGUGAGGUGUUCGGUUAAGUCCGAUAACGAGCGCAACCCUCAUCGUUAGUUACAAGUGUCUAGCGAGACUGCCGGCGAUAAGCCGGAGGAAGGUGGGGAUGAUGUCAAGUCAGCAUGGCCUUUAUGUCCUGGUCUACACACACGCUACAAUGGUCGGUACAAUGGGUAGCCAAGCCGCGAGGCGGAGCCAAUCCUCCAAAGCCGAUCUCAGUUCGGAUUGCAGGCUGCAAUUCGCCUGCAUGAAGUCGGAGUUGCUAGUAAACGCGCGUCAGCAACAGUGCGUUGAAUACGUUCCCGGGUCUUGUACACACCGCCCGUCACGUCAUGGAAGUUGGCAACGCCUAAAGUCAGUGGGCUAACCUUACGGAGGCAGCUGCCUAAGGCGGGGUUGGUAACUGGGACGAAGUCGUAACAAGGUAGCUGUAGCGGAAGCUGCGGCUG